Molecule: ribosomal RNA, 2513 nt
Filed under: Escherichia coli
Lineage: Bacteria; Pseudomonadati; Pseudomonadota; Gammaproteobacteria; Enterobacterales; Enterobacteriaceae
Description: partial 23S ribosomal RNA
Rfam family: Bacterial large subunit ribosomal RNA
Source: RNAcentral
UCCUGUCUGAAUAUGGGGGGACCAUCCUCCAAGGCUAAAUACUCCUGACUGACCGAUAGUGAACCAGUACCGUGAGGGAAAGGCGAAAAGAACCCCGGCGAGGGGAGUGAAAAAGAACCUGAAACCGUGUACGUACAAGCAGUGGGAGCACGCUUAGGCGUGUGACUGCGUACCUUUUGUAUAAUGGGUCAGCGACUUAUAUUCUGUAGCAAGGUUAACCGAAUAGGGGAGCCGAAGGGAAACCGAGUCUUAACUGGGCGUUAAGUUGCAGGGUAUAGACCCGAAACCCGGUGAUCUAGCCAUGGGCAGGUUGAAGGUUGGGUAACACUAACUGGAGGACCGAACCGACUAAUGUUGAAAAAUUAGCGGAUGACUUGUGGCUGGGGGUGAAAGGCCAAUCAAACCGGGAGAUAGCUGGUUCUCCCCGAAAGCUAUUUAGGUAGCGCCUCGUGAAUUCAUCUCCGGGGGUAGAGCACUGUUUCGGCAAGGGGGUCAUCCCGACUUACCAACCCGAUGCAAACUGCGAAUACCGGAGAAUGUUAUCACGGGAGACACACGGCGGGUGCUAACGUCCGUCGUGAAGAGGGAAACAACCCAGACCGCCAGCUAAGGUCCCAAAGUCAUGGUUAAGUGGGAAACGAUGUGGGAAGGCCCAGACAGCCAGGAUGUUGGCUUAGAAGCAGCCAUCAUUUAAAGAAAGCGUAAUAGCUCACUGGUCGAGUCGGCCUGCGCGGAAGAUGUAACGGGGCUAAACCAUGCACCGAAGCUGCGGCAGCGACGCUUAUGCGUUGUUGGGUAGGGGAGCGUUCUGUAAGCCUGCGAAGGUGUGCUGUGAGGCAUGCUGGAGGUAUCAGAAGUGCGAAUGCUGACAUAAGUAACGAUAAAGCGGGUGAAAAGCCCGCUCGCCGGAAGACCAAGGGUUCCUGUCCAACGUUAAUCGGGGCAGGGUGAGUCGACCCCUAAGGCGAGGCCGAAAGGCGUAGUCGAUGGGAAACAGGUUAAUAUUCCUGUACUUGGUGUUACUGCGAAGGGGGGACGGAGAAGGCUAUGUUGGCCGGGCGACGGUUGUCCCGGUUUAAGCGUGUAGGCUGGUUUUCCAGGCAAAUCCGGAAAAUCAAGGCUGAGGCGUGAUGACGAGGCACUACGGUGCUGAAGCAACAAAUGCCCUGCUUCCAGGAAAAGCCUCUAAGCAUCAGGUAACAUCAAAUCGUACCCCAAACCGACACAGGUGGUCAGGUAGAGAAUACCAAGGCGCUUGAGAGAACUCGGGUGAAGGAACUAGGCAAAAUGGUGCCGUAACUUCGGGAGAAGGCACGCUGAUAUGUAGGUGAAGUCCCUCGCGGAUGGAGCUGAAAUCAGUCGAAGAUACCAGCUGGCUGCAACUGUUUAUUAAAAACACAGCACUGUGCAAACACGAAAGUGGACGUAUACGGUGUGACGCCUGCCCGGUGCCGGAAGGUUAAUUGAUGGGGUUAGCGCAAGCGAAGCUCUUGAUCGAAGCCCCGGUAAACGGCGGCCGUAACUAUAACGGUCCUAAGGUAGCGAAAUUCCUUGUCGGGUAAGUUCCGACCUGCACGAAUGGCGUAAUGAUGGCCAGGCUGUCUCCACCCGAGACUCAGUGAAAUUGAACUCGCUGUGAAGAUGCAGUGUACCCGCGGCAAGACGGAAAGACCCCGUGAACCUUUACUAUAGCUUGACACUGAACAUUGAGCCUUGAUGUGUAGGAUAGGUGGGAGGCUUUGAAGUGUGGACGCCAGUCUGCAUGGAGCCGACCUUGAAAUACCACCCUUUAAUGUUUGAUGUUCUAACGUUGACCCGUGAUCCGGGUUGCGGACAGUGUCUGGUGGGUAGUUUGACUGGGGCGGUCUCCUCCUAAAGAGUAACGGAGGAGCACGAAGGUUGGCUAAUCCUGGUCGGACAUCAGGAGGUUAGUGCAAUGGCAUAAGCCAGCUUGACUGCGAGCGUGACGGCGCGAGCAGGUGCGAAAGCAGGUCAUAGUGAUCCGGUGGUUCUGAAUGGAAGGGCCAUCGCUCAACGGAUAAAAGGUACUCCGGGGAUAACAGGCUGAUACCGCCCAAGAGUUCAUAUCGACGGCGGUGUUUGGCACCUCGAUGUCGGCUCAUCACAUCCUGGGGCUGAAGUAGGUCCCAAGGGUAUGGCUGUUCGCCAUUUAAAGUGGUACGCGAGCUGGGUUUAGAACGUCGUGAGACAGUUCGGUCCCUAUCUGCCGUGGGCGCUGGAGAAUUGAGGGGGGCUGCUCCUAGUACGAGAGGACCGGAGUGGACGCAUCACUGGUGUUCGGGUUGUCAUGCCAAUGGCACUGCCCGGUAGCUAAAUGCGGAAGAGAUAAGUGCUGAAAGCAUCUAAGCACGAAACUUGCCCCGAGAUGAGUUCUCCCUGACUCCUUGAGAGUCCUGAAGGAACGUUGAAGACGACGACGUUGAUAGGCCGGGUGUGUAAGCGCAGCGAUGCGUUGAGCUAACCGGUACUAAUGAACCGUGAGGCUUAACCUU